Triticum aestivum (bread wheat) is the source of this 1521-nucleotide long non-coding RNA. RefSeq lists it as uncharacterized. The record is from RefSeq and is a predicted model, not a curated record. Lineage: Eukaryota; Viridiplantae; Streptophyta; Magnoliopsida; Poales; Poaceae. The transcript has 5 exons.
GCAUCCCGCCGCCCCCGCCUUCCUCUCCCUCGUCUCAUCUUUCUCCCAGAUCCGAGCGAGGCACCGCGCCACCCCCACCCAUCACCGCCGACCUCUCCACCAUCUCCUCCCCGUCCUCCAUCGCGCCGCCAUCCACCUCGUCGCCUCCCAUCUCCUCCCUUCCCCUCCCUCCCCCACCUUCCCCUUUUGUCCCUCCUUCCCCACCCCCACAACAAGAUCGCCGACGCGACGACAGCAAUGGGCGACGCUGAGGCUGACCAAUCCAACGAGCCAGUGAGCGAUCUCCAAAUGGAGCCGGUCCGUCGGUGCAGGCGAAGGGCGCACACGGCGGACAAGGCGGCGGCGGUGCAGCGCAAGGCCUAGUGCCGGCUGCGGCUGUCUGCGCGGGUGCCGCCGUGGGACGCCGUCGUGCUCACGGCCGCCAGCCCCGAGCAGCUCGCGCUCUACGCCCGCCAGCUCACGCGCGCGCGCCGCCUAGGCCGCUUCCCGCCCUCCACCGCCGCCCUCGCCGUCCCUAACCCCGACGGCGCCCGCAUCGGCUCCGGCACCGCCACGCUCCACGCUGUCGCCUCCCUCGCCCGCCACCUCGUCUCCCAGAUAGCAUGUACCCGUACGUGAUCCUCACCUGCCGCAGCCACGAGCAGAAGAGCACCGUCGCAUCAGGAGCGGGGAGUGAGCCCGAAUGGAACGAGACCUUCUUCUUUGCCGUCUCCGGCGACGCCCCGGAGCUCAGGGUCAAGAUCCUCUCGGCGGAUGACCUCGUCGGAGAAGCAUGGCAAGUACCAGACGAACACCCCUCCUAUACUAUCGGAUCCAAGUGCAAGCAUUAGACUAGUAGUACCGUAGUACUGCUCCAACCUGGCACAUUAUUAUUCCUAUAGAGAUUCAGAACACUUGUUUCAGCUGCUGGUUCUGAACUUUUAACUGAAUUUUCUUCAGUAUCCCGCUGGAAGCUGCUGGUUCUUCAUGUGUUUGUGUGAUGUUUUUUUGAAUCUCUUGCAGACUGGGGUGUGCAGUACUUCCACAGGUGCCACGGAUCCGGAGCCUGAUGUUGCUGCUGAAGAGCAGAGCGAUCAAGCUCCCCCAAAGGGACAUCUAGAGGUCCUUACUCAUCAGGUGCACAUGAGUGUUCUGGGCGACAUGGUCUCCUUUUCGGCAUGUGCAAGUGUCGGGUGGUGCUUGCCUACAUGGUUUACGGCAAGCUGCAGUUCAGGUGGGCGCUCCAGCUCUCCCUUCUCAUGCUAUACAUCCAGGAGCUCCAGGCCUAAGAAAGUUGGAAGUGCGAAGACGUGAAGAAAAGCGCGAAGCCGUGAAGUGCUACUCAGCAAAGAGUUGUCUGCUCUAUUUACUAUAAUAUUGUAAUAUUGUAAUAGCUGGUAUACCUGGGUUGUAAUAGUCUACUGAAAUUGUAAGACACUAAUCUAGUGUUAUUUGAUGUGUUAUUUGAUGAAUUUCACAUGUUCUCUUAUUUGUUUGGAAUAUUUGAUUAUGAAUGUGAUUUGAUAGUGUGUGAGAUGGCAA